AUAACUUCCUUGGACUUUUAUCUUUUGAUGGACUCUCCGAGCUCUAAUCUGCUAUGCCUCCUCAUGAUAGCAUUGAUUAUGUCGGCUACAGGUCUAUUUUCUAUCAACUCUUCCUACUGAGGCGAUUCCGUCUGCUGAGGUGCCCUUAGCAAAUCCUUGUGCUGCUUCCUUCUACACUAAAUAAAAUGAUCCAACCGACCUCGUCGAAUGAACUCCUCGAUUUCAUCUUGGAGUUGGAUAUAGUCUUCUAUGUUGUUGCUGUGGUUGCGAUCAUAGAGGCAAUACUUGUUCUCAUUAUAUUGAUCUGAUUGAGAAUGCAUCCUCUCCACCCUGAGAAGCUGCUCCUUAAUUUUUAUGAGCAUUUGAGUCCUGGAUGUGUUCAGAGGAGUGUAAUUUAUGAACCUCCUCUAUGAUAAUAAGCACCUCCUCGGUGACACACGUCGUUAUCCUUGGGGGCUUCUGGUCAUUUUCUUCGAGGAGUUUUGGAUCUAAGACAUCAGGGUGGGAUUCUAGACUGUUGCCAACCCCUUAGGGGAUCCUCUU
RNAcentral lists this long non-coding RNA (543 nucleotides) under Elaeis guineensis (African oil palm). RNAcentral describes it as "long non-coding RNA (EGUI_LNC023429)". The record is from RNAcentral. Lineage: Eukaryota; Viridiplantae; Streptophyta; Magnoliopsida; Arecales; Arecaceae.